Bacteroides sp. CAG:545 is the source of this 72-nucleotide non-coding RNA. The record is from Rfam. Lineage: Bacteria; Pseudomonadati; Bacteroidota; Bacteroidia; Bacteroidales; Bacteroidaceae.
GGCCCUGUAGUUCAACGGAUAGAACGGAAGUUUCCUAAACUUUAAAUACAGGUUCGAUUCCUGUCGGGGCUA